This 312-nucleotide long non-coding RNA is filed under the name Salvia miltiorrhiza (redroot sage). Its description in RNAcentral is "long non-coding RNA (SMIL_LNC014020)". The record is from RNAcentral. Lineage: Eukaryota; Viridiplantae; Streptophyta; Magnoliopsida; Lamiales; Lamiaceae.
UUUGGAGUCGAUAACUCUUGGAGACAUGUUGCGAUUGACAGCGUGCAUGGAUGUAAUGUGGAAUUUCUUUUGUCUACACGUCCGUUCGUUACAGAAGGUUUCAUACAUUAAUUGGAUGUGUGAAUAUCGAAGAAUCGUCUUGACAUUGGAUAUUAAUUGAGACUGAGAUCCUUACAAAGAGUAUAGUUCCUUUUCUACAGCUUAUUUAGGGGGAAAGAGACGGUAUUAUCUGUCAACGGGGACGUUCCUAUCAAUGUUGGCUCGCGACAACAAAGAUUUCUCGUGGGAUGUUUGGGGGAUGAAAUCAGAAAG